GGAUACCUGGAGUACCAGCAGGUGCCUGACAGUGACCCUGCUCGCUACGAGUUCCUGUGGGGUCCCCAGGCCCAUGCGGAGACCAGAAAGCAGCAAGUCAUGGCGUUUGUGCUCGGGGUCAGACAAAGGGCUUUGAGGGCCUUCCCACUUCAGUCUGCAGAGGCUGCGAGGGAGGACGACAAGGAGGCCUGAGCCAGAGCGGCAGCCAGCCAACCCUUCCCUCUGCGAUUGAAGAGGGAGCGUUCAGCCUUCUCAGAACUGAGGGCCUGGACCAGCUGGGGGCGCCAUUCUGUAGCUUCUUUGGGUUCCUGUUCUUUAUGACGAUAGGCAGAUUCAUCUCUGUUUCCUUUAGGAAACUGUCAAACUUGAAUUG
This 373-nucleotide long non-coding RNA is filed under the name Capra hircus (goat). Its description in RNAcentral is "lncRNA (ENSCHIG00010018060.1)". The record is from RNAcentral. Lineage: Eukaryota; Metazoa; Chordata; Mammalia; Artiodactyla; Bovidae.